This 94-nucleotide transfer RNA is filed under the name Streptomyces rimosus subsp. rimosus. RNAcentral's name for it is "tRNA-Ala". The record is from RNAcentral. Lineage: Bacteria; Bacillati; Actinomycetota; Actinomycetes; Kitasatosporales; Streptomycetaceae.
CGGCGGGCGGGCGCCCGGCCGAGCGCGGCCGGUGCGCGCUCGGCACGGUCAAGGCGAACAUCGGGCACGCCGGAUCGGCCGCCGGCAUCGCCGG